RNAcentral lists this transfer RNA (71 nucleotides) under Cordylochernes scorpioides. RNAcentral describes it as "tRNA-Lys". The record is from RNAcentral. Lineage: Eukaryota; Metazoa; Arthropoda; Arachnida; Pseudoscorpiones; Chernetidae.
UGCAUCGGCCGGGAAUCGAACCCGGGCCGCCCGCGUAAGAGGCGAGCAUUCUACCACUGAACCACCGAUGC